Molecule: ribosomal RNA, 428 nt
Filed under: uncultured bacterium
Lineage: Bacteria
Description: bacterial SSU rRNA
Rfam family: Bacterial small subunit ribosomal RNA
Source: RNAcentral
UAGGGAAUAUUGCACAAUGGGCGAAAGCCUGAUGCAGCGAUGCCGCGUGAGUGAUGAAGGCCUUCGGGUCGUAAAGCUCUUUUAUAAGGGAAGAACAGCCGGAGCAGGAAAUGGCUCUGGUUUGACGGUACCUUAGGAAUAAGGAACGGCUAACUCCGUGCCAGCAGCCGCGGUAAUACGGAGGUUCCUAGCGUUGUUCGGAAUUACUGGGCGUAAAGGGGGCGCAGGCGGUCUUGUAAGUCUAAAGUAGAAGCCCGGGGCUCAACCUCGGAAAGCCUUUGGAUACUGCAGGACUAGAGUUCGCGAGAGGAAAGCGGAAUUCAGGGUGUAGCGGUGAAAUGCUUAGAUAUCCUGAGGAACACCAGUGGCGAAAGCGGCUUUCUGGCGCGAAACUGACGCUGAGGCCCGAAAGCGUGGGUAGCAAACGG